This 479-nucleotide unclassified non-coding RNA is filed under the name Hevea brasiliensis (rubber tree). Lineage: Eukaryota; Viridiplantae; Streptophyta; Magnoliopsida; Malpighiales; Euphorbiaceae. The record is from RNAcentral.
GUCCAAGUCGCUGCAACUACACUUGCCCGAUGGAGAUAGCAAGGACUGCUGAGAGCCCAGGUCCCUCUGCACCUUCAGAUGGUCACGUUGCUAAAGCAGAUCUCUGCUCGGUCCUUGUUCUUUACUGUCUGCUGCUUUUGACUAGCUUCAUCCUCCUCCAACAGUUUAAACUGGGUUAAACAAUCAUGCAUUCUUUGAACCGCUACUUCCACAUAUCAAAACAACAACUUUUCACGAAUCUUCUCCUGGUUUCCGGUGCUUUUUGAUAUUUAUUGGUGGUAUACUCUAGUAUACUUCACUGCAGUAGAACUCCAAGUCCACGACACCUAGCUUGCAUGCUUCUUUCUGAUCCAAGCGGGAUUGUUUUAAAGGUGAUUCAUUGGUCCUCCCUUCACCUCCAGAGUAACACAACUUGAACUGACUUCAGCACGAAAAAGAUUAGCAUCAUUGGGAGCAAGACAACUAGUUUUUUUGUCACU